AGGAAGUGAGUGGGUCACGGGUGCUGAUCUUGGAGACAGUGUCUUGUCCCUGGUGUCUUCACCUAUAGAUCUCUCCUUCGAACCGUUUUGGGACAGCCACACCCUUCCGCCAUGAUGUUCCUGUCUGGCCACAGCCCUGAACACAACAGAGUCCAUUGACUAUGGACUGAAGCAUCUGAAACUGUGCUGUGCUGCCUCCUGCUGCCCUUCUGAACCGAGAUAAUCCAGUGACAACUUUUGGCCUUGGCUCGUCCCUGUUACUUAGAAACAUGGUCAGAGGGGACCUUGGCCCAGCUGCAGGCUUCUACCCUCCAGGAAGGACAUCGCUCCCCACAACCGAUGACUUUGAAGUGGUACCGAGGCUUUGGCUACAGCAAGAGUUCAUUUGUGCCAGAGUGGCUGCAUCGGCCCGAGGAUAAUCCAAUCCAGGAAGAUGUCUGUCACCGGCUCUGCUCUCCUGCCAGGGCUGCCAGCCUGUGGGUUCCACUGUGGGGCCAGAGUGACAACAAGAGGACCCUUGAAGAGAUCGGCGCCAAGGGCAGUGGAGGCUGCUGUGUGGUCCCCUGGGAGGACU
Long non-coding RNA from Fukomys damarensis (Damara mole-rat), 574 nucleotides. RefSeq lists it as uncharacterized. The transcript is spliced from 3 exons. The record is from RefSeq and is a predicted model, not a curated record. NCBI's taxonomy places the organism in Eukaryota, Metazoa, Chordata, Mammalia, Rodentia, Bathyergidae.